Molecule: ribosomal RNA, 445 nt
Filed under: uncultured bacterium
Lineage: Bacteria
Description: partial 16S ribosomal RNA
Rfam family: Bacterial small subunit ribosomal RNA
Source: RNAcentral
GUGAGGAAUAUUGGUCAAUGGACGAGAGUCUGAACCAGCCAAGUCGCGUGAAGGAAGACGGUUCUAUGAAUUGUAAACUUCUUUUGUGCAGGAAUAAAGUGGGUUACGUGUAACCUUUUGUAUGUACUGUACGAAUAAGGAUCGGCUAACUCCGUGCCAGCAGCCGCGGUAAUACGGAGGAUCCGAGCGUUAUCCGGAUUUAUUGGGUUUAAAGUGUGCGUAGGUGGAUUGAUAAGUCAGCGGUGAAAGUUUGCAGCUUAACUGUAUAAUUGACGUUGAAACUGUCGGUCUUGAGUGCAAAUGAGGUAGGCGGAAUGUGUUGUGUAGCGGUGAAAUGCUUAGAUAUAACACAGAACUCCGAUUGCGAAGGCAGCUUACUGGGAUGCAACUGACACUGAUGCACGAAAGCGUGGGUAUCAAACAGGAUUAGAAACCCCGGUAGUCC